CGAUGCAACGCGAAGAACCUUACCUGGUCUUGACAUCCACGGAAGUUUUCAGAGAUGAGAAUGUGCCCUCGGGAACCGUGAGACAGGUGCUGCAUGGCUGUCGUCAGCUCGUGUUGUGAAAUGUUGGGUUAAGUCCCGCAACGAGCGCAACCCUUAUCCUUUGUUGCCAGCGGUCCGGCCGGGAACUCAAAGGAGACUGCCAGUGAUAAACUGGAGGAAGGUGGGGAUGACGUCAAGUCAUCAUGGCCCUUACGACCAGGGCUACACACGUGCUACAAUGGCGCAUACAAAGAGAAGCGACCUCGCGAGAGCAAGCGGACCUCAUAAAGUGCGUCGUAGUCCGGAUUGGAGUCUGCAACUCGACUCCAUGAAGUCGGAAUCGCUAGUAAUCGUGGAUCAGAAUGCCACGGUGAAUACGUUCCCGGGCCUUGUACACACCGCCCGUCACACCAUGGGAGUGGGUUGCAAAAGAAGUAGGUAGCUUAACCUUCGGGAGGGCGCUUACCACUUUGUGAUUCAUGACUGGGGUGAAGUCGUAACAAGGUAACCGUAGGGGAACCUGCGGCUGGAUCACCUC
Molecule: ribosomal RNA, 577 nt
Filed under: uncultured bacterium
Lineage: Bacteria
Description: bacterial SSU rRNA
Rfam family: Bacterial small subunit ribosomal RNA
Source: RNAcentral